This 510-nucleotide ribosomal RNA is filed under the name uncultured bacterium. RNAcentral describes it as "bacterial SSU rRNA". It matches the Rfam family "Bacterial small subunit ribosomal RNA", at positions 28 to 431 of the family's 1533-position model. The record is from RNAcentral.
GAUGAACGCUGGCGGCGUGCCUAAUACAUGCAAGUCGAGCGGUAAGGCUUUACACAGUUUGUUUAAACGGCAAAGACAGGUCGCGAUUACGAAGUAAUCGUUUCUUAUACGAAGAAUAAACGCUUCGGUCUAAACCACUCUUUAUCUGGCUAGAUAAACGAGUUUGAACAAAGUGUGUAGAGUACACGAGCGGCGGACGGCUGAGUAAUGCAUUGGAACGUACCCCAAACUGAGGGAUAAUCCACCGAAAGGUGGACUAAUACCGCAUGUGCCAUUCGUGGUAAAGCUACGGCGGUUUGGGAGCGGCCAAUGUUCGAUUAGCUAGUUGGUGAGGUAAUAGCUCACCAAGGCUACGAUCGAUAGCGGGUCUGAGAGGAUGAUCCGCCAGACUGGAACUGAGACACGGUCCAGACUCCUACGGGAGGCAGCAGUAGGGAAUUUUCCACAAUGGGGGCAACCCUGAUGGAGCAACGCCGCGUCGCGAGGAUGAAGGCCCUCGGGUCGUAAACU